ACCAAAGUGGUGAAAUUGGCAGACACGCUAGGUUUAGGUUCUAGUUCUUUAACAGAAUAGGGGUUCAAGUCCCCUCUUUGGUA
RNAcentral lists this transfer RNA (83 nucleotides) under Microchloropsis gaditana. RNAcentral describes it as "Nannochloropsis gaditana tRNA". It matches the Rfam family "tRNA". From Rfam's summary of the family: Transfer RNA (tRNA) molecules are approximately 80 nucleotides in length. Their secondary structure includes four short double-helical elements and three loops (D, anti-codon, and T loops). The record is from Rfam by way of RNAcentral. Lineage: Eukaryota; Eustigmatophyceae; Eustigmatales; Monodopsidaceae. RNAcentral also lists the same sequence under 2 other names.